Molecule: small RNA, 89 nt
Filed under: Flavobacterium urumqiense
Lineage: Bacteria; Pseudomonadati; Bacteroidota; Flavobacteriia; Flavobacteriales; Flavobacteriaceae
Description: Flavo-1 RNA
Rfam family: Flavo-1 RNA
Source: RNAcentral
CCCUAGCCCUGAUGGAAGGGAAAAUCCUUUUUUGAUAAAACGCGAAGCAAGUUUUAUCAAAAAAGAUUGGAAUGACAGCAGGAAAUAGC